UACAGAGGGGGCAAGCGUUGUUCGGAAUUACUGGGCGUAAAGGGCGCGUAGGCGGCCUGUUAAGUCGGAUGUGAAAUCCCCGGGCUCAACCUGGGAACUGCAUUCGAAACUGCCUGGCUAGAGUUUGAGAGAGGGAAGUGGAAUUCCACAUGUAGCGGUGAAAUGCGUAGAUAUGUGGAGGAACAUCAGUGGCGAAGGCGGCUUCCUGGCUUAAAACUGACACUGUGGCGCGAAAGCGUGGGUAGCAAACAGG
RNAcentral lists this ribosomal RNA (253 nucleotides) under uncultured bacterium. RNAcentral describes it as "partial 16S ribosomal RNA". It matches the Rfam family "Bacterial small subunit ribosomal RNA", at positions 524 to 776 of the family's 1533-position model. The record is from RNAcentral.